UAGCUUUGCCUGUGCAUAGGUAGCUGUACCCGUACUGAAAAAUACGGGUCUGCUUGAAAAGGGAAUACCGGUGAAAAUCCGUAACAGUCUCCGCUGCUGUAACUCCGUAAUGAAAAGCUGACAAUUUAGUGCCACUGUGCGCCACUGCGUAUGGGAAGGCUGUCAGCUUUGGGGAAGUCAGAAGACCUGCCUUUGCAUAUACUACUCA
This 208-nucleotide non-coding RNA is filed under the name Anditalea andensis. Lineage: Bacteria; Pseudomonadati; Bacteroidota; Cytophagia; Cytophagales; Cytophagaceae. The record is from RNAcentral.